This is a long non-coding RNA of Mustela lutreola (European mink), 3521 nucleotides long. RefSeq lists it as uncharacterized. The transcript has 2 exons. NCBI's taxonomy places the organism in Eukaryota, Metazoa, Chordata, Mammalia, Carnivora, Mustelidae. The record is from RefSeq and is a predicted model, not a curated record.
GAACAGCAGCAGAGCAGCAGCGAUGGCGCCAGUCAGCACCUCUUCCUGUGCACACCGCCCUUGCCUUGAGUGUCCAGGACAGCCUGGCCUCAAGCAUGGGGUGGGGUGUGCAGCUGAAGCCCUGUGUGCGCUUUGAAAUCUUUCUUCUCUGCUCCUAGCUGCUUUCUGCUGCUCCUUCUCUGCCCUGGGGAGGGUCUGCCAGCUCUGGGGCAUCAGUGAGGGGUCCUCAGGCGCCCCGUGAAGGGCGCAGUGAGGACAGCUGGUGCUGUGUCCGUUUCCCCAGAUAAAACCGGAUCUGAGUGUCAUUUACAGGAAGGGCUGUCCUCCAAGGUCCCAUCGGCUUUAAGACCUUACACGCUUCUCUUUAUGUGCGGAGCAGUUAACCCACCGGCCUUUCCUGGCAGGUGGGGCUGACCCGCGGGCAAGGCAGGGUGUGUGGUGCGGUUCGUGUGUAUGUGGCUGUAGAAGCAUCACACCGCGGAGACGCACGCACAGCGUCGUGUGUCUGUCUUGCAUCGGAACGACGUAGGUGCAACAAACACAGGGACACGGCUUGCGCCUCCACUCGCCCCUCCUCCGGGAACCGACCGUGACCCAGGACUCAUUUCAGUAUAUUAACACCAGCUUUGCUGGUGACGGCCGUGGGACAUGGGUGAUGAGCCCGAGGAAAGAAAAUACCAGAAAGAAACUUCAGACUGAGGAGCAGUCCCUGACUGGGCCUCUAGGCUCACUGUGUAGAGGAGCAUGAGGGGAAUGUGGAACCUUCUGGAACUUGAGAAAGGCCUGGGAAGGCAGGAGGUCGGCAUACUCAGCAGGGGUGCCAGCUCUGGGGCAUCAGGCCCGUGGGCAGUGUGGCUGGCAUAUCUGUGUGUGGCGCACGGUCUGCACACCCAGCACAGCUGGCACGUCCCGAAAGACUUGCGUGUGUGUCCCCGCGUGGGCGAUGUAGGGCUCUGAGCUCAGAUGGGAAAGGCAAAUGCGGUCAAGGGGCAGCUGGUGCAUCCUAAGAACACCUGGGAGUCCUCUGGAUUUUUAAUUGGACCGUCCCCAAUGUUGUUGGUCCACGAAGGGCUCCGAGACCCACCCACACGGCGUGGACCUCUGAGGGGCCACCAGGCCGGCAGAGCGCGGAGACCCUGCUUGCAUGUGGCGGUCCUGUGUGCUGGGACUGCGGCAGCUCAUGCGUGUGUAGAUGUCAUUUGCCCUAUGGUCUUUGCAGCAUGAUUUCUCUCCUCCUGCAUUCUCAUUUUGGGGUUCACUGUCCCUGUCGUCCUGCUCACGGGUGGGUAAAUGGACACAGGCCCAGUACAUCGCCCAAGCCACACAGCGGGCAGGGGGCAAAGCCGGGACUGCGCACUGGCCAGCCUCCCCCCAGCCAGGUGUGCUUUGUUCUACACCGUCAGGUUGGGGGGGCCCUGACGUGAGUCCGGUCACAGAAUAGCUGUGCCGCGCAUAGUUAGUGACCCGCUGAACAGGUUGCCUCAUCUGCAAACACAAGAAUGCCUCAUCUGUGACCGGCGCACAGGGUCGGGGUGGGAUGUGCUCGGCAUCUAACCCGGUGCCCGGCUCUGUGUUGUUUAGCGCCAGGUGCCACUGUGUAUAUACGUAAACCCCCGUCAGGAGGGUGGUGUUGGCCUCCUGGCAUGGAGUAGAUGUGGCGUUCCCUGUUCCCUCCCGGCGGUAUGUCAAACAGAUGCCAGGAAGCUGAGCGGUGGACUGGCUGUGGCCCCGAGACCGCGGAACCCAGAUGGACCACAUCCCCGGCUGUGGAACAGGCUUCCGCAGAGCAGAGAGAAUGGGUGCCACACAGGGAAUGUGACCAGAAACCAGUAACAGAAAGAUUCAUGAUUUUAUCUAUGUGGAAAAUUCCAAGGAAUCUAGGAAGAAGACCUCCCAGAACAAGUAAGGGACAUCAGCUGAUUGCAGGACCCAGGAGAUGCACACAAAAGUCAAUUAUAUUUGCAUUGACCAGCAGUAAAUGUGUAAGACCUAAAUUAAAUAUACAGUGCCAUUCAUAAUAGAUCAAACAAACCAUAUGUGUGUAUAUGUAUAUAUAUAUAUAUAUGACGUAAACCUAAGAAAAUAUGCAAGACUUGUCUGUUGAAGACUCCACAGUGUCAAUGGAAGAAAUCAAAGAUUCAAACAGAUGGAGUGGCAUACCAUGUUCAUGGAUUGGAAGACCCUGGUGAAGAUGUUGGUUCCUCCCAAACUGAUACACAGUUUUACCACAGUUCCUAUCAAAAUCCCAGCAAGAUUAUUUUUAUAGACAAGAUAAUUUUAAGGUGUAUGCAGAGAUACAAAGGAAGUAGACUAGCUAAAAUCAUUUUGAAAAAAGAAUAAAGGGAGAGGCAUGGAUUGAUGACUUUCCAGACUUUCUAGGUAACCACAGAAAUGAGGACUGUGUGGUGUGGGGCAAGGGACAGACACAAGACCAGGGAAACAGAAUGGGAAACCCAAAGAUAACACCCACACGAAUCUGCCCAACUGAUUUCUUUUAGAAAAUAUGCAAGAUAAGUCAAUGAGGGCGAAACCGUCCUUUCAACAAACGGUGCUCACCGUUGGAAAAAAAAAAAAAAAGAACGUGAACCAAAGUCUUGUAUCUUAUACUGAAGUUAACUUAAAAAGAGAUCAUAAACAAAUAUAACACUGUAAAACUUUAAGGAAAAACACAUAGCAGAAAAUCUUUGGGAUCCAGGCUACUCAAGGCUUAAUUAGAUUAGCACCCAAAGUGCAAUCCAUAAAAGGGAAAAUUGGUUAAGUAGGACUUGAUCAAAACUGAAAGAAUUUUCUAUAGGAAGAACCUGCCAGGAGGUGAAAAGGCAGACCACAGACUGAGAGAAGAUUCUGCACUCAAAAUACUCGGCAGUAGAAGAAGAAAGAACCUGAUCAGAAAGCCGGUAAGAGCCAGGAGGAGACCUCUCCCUGAACAAGAUGGACAGACGGCAGAUAUGCACACGAUAGACGCCCAGCAUCAUUACCACUGGGGAAAUGCAAGAGAUCACUGGUGGACCCAGCGAAACGGGUAAAAUGAAAAAUAGUUUCAACACCGAGUGCUGGCGAGAAGUGGAGGAACUGGAACUCUCCUGUCCUGCUAGUUGGAGUGGGACACGUGCAGCCUUUCCGUGGAGACAGUCUGGCACUUUCCUUAAAAAACCUUUACAUGUCAAUACAUGUGAUUCGACGAGGAGCCCUGAGUUUUUAUCCUGAAGAAAUAGACUGACACUUGUGCAGAAUCCUGUACCCCCGUGUUUAUAGAGCAUCUCUGUGUAAUUCCUGACCUCCGCGUACGAAUCCAGAAUGAUCUCAGACUCACAAGCCCAGUGUUGGUCCCACUGGAGGAGAUGGGGUGUGUGUGGUUGGAGCAGUGCUGGCAAGCUGGGUGGGGACCUUAUCGUACUGUUCUGCCUGCUUCUUUAUGUGUGUGGAAUGUUAUGUAACAAGGAGUUCAGGUUAACUCCGGGAGCCCUUGGUGGUGAAUAAACGUGGGUGCGGUCCACACGUGUGCACUCCCACUCACCAGC